RNAcentral lists this non-coding RNA (27 nucleotides) under Rattus norvegicus (Norway rat). The record is from RNAcentral. Lineage: Eukaryota; Metazoa; Chordata; Mammalia; Rodentia; Muridae.
UGGUCUCUGCUCCCGUGAAUCCUAGCU